Molecule: ribosomal RNA, 252 nt
Filed under: uncultured Bacteroidales bacterium
Lineage: Bacteria; Pseudomonadati; Bacteroidota; Bacteroidia; Bacteroidales
Description: partial 16S ribosomal RNA
Rfam family: Bacterial small subunit ribosomal RNA
Source: RNAcentral
UACGGAGGAUGCGAGCGUUAUCCGGAUUUAUUGGGUUUAAAGGGUGCGUAGGCGGUCCGUUAAGUCAGCGGUAAAAUUGCGGGGCUCAACCCCGGCCUGCCGUCGGAACUGGGUGCCUUGAGUGGGCGAGAAGUAUGCGGAAUGCGUGGUGUAGCGGUGAAAUGCAUAGAUAUCACGCAGAACCCCGAUUGCGAAGGCAGCUUACCAAACUAUAUCUGACGUUGAGGCACGAAAGCGUGGGGAGCAAACAGG